GAAUAUUGGACAAUGGGGGAAACCCUUAUCCAGCGACGCCGCGUGAGGGAAGAAGGUUUUCGGAUUGUAAACCUCUGUCAGUGGGGAGGAUAAUGACGGUACCCACGGAGGAAGCCACGGCUAACUAGGUGCCAGCAGCCGCGGGAAUACGUAGGUGGCAAGCGUUGUCCGGAAUUACUGGGUGUAAAGGGAGCGUAGGCGGGAUGUCAAGUCAGAAGUGAAAAUUAUGGGCUCAACUCAUAACCUGCUUUUGAAACUGAUAUUCUUGAGUGAAGUAGAGGCAAGCGGAAUUCCUAGUGUAGCGGUGAAAUGCGUAGAUAUUAGGAGGAACACCAGUGGCGAAGGCGGCUUGCUGGGCUUUUACUGACGCUGAGGCUCGAAAGCGUGGGGAGCAAACAG
This 399-nucleotide ribosomal RNA is filed under the name uncultured bacterium. Its description in RNAcentral is "bacterial SSU rRNA". It matches the Rfam family "Bacterial small subunit ribosomal RNA", at positions 359 to 775 of the family's 1533-position model. The record is from RNAcentral.